UCCUCACUUCAGAUGCCAAUGGCAAGUCCUA
This 31-nucleotide non-coding RNA is filed under the name Homo sapiens (human). The record is from RNAcentral. Lineage: Eukaryota; Metazoa; Chordata; Mammalia; Primates; Hominidae.